CCGUAGCCCAAGAGAUCGGGAUAACACCUGGAAACAGAUGCUAAUACCGGAUAACAACAGAUGAUGCCUAUCAACUGUUUAAAAGAUGGUUCUGCUAUCACUCUUGGAUGGACCUGCGGUGCAUUAGCUAGUUGGUAGGGUAACGGCCUGCCAAGGCGAUGAUGCAUAGCCGAGUUGAGAGACUGAUCGGCCACAUUGGGACUGAGACACGGCCCAAACUCCUACGGGAGGCAGCAGAG
This 239-nucleotide ribosomal RNA is filed under the name uncultured Lactobacillus sp. RNAcentral describes it as "partial 16S ribosomal RNA". It matches the Rfam family "Bacterial small subunit ribosomal RNA", at positions 125 to 354 of the family's 1533-position model. The record is from RNAcentral. Lineage: Bacteria; Bacillati; Bacillota; Bacilli; Lactobacillales; Lactobacillaceae.